GCGAAAACUUUACAAUGCUGGCAACAGCGAUAAGGGAACCUCGAGUGCCAGGUUAUAAAUCUGGCUGUCGAGAUGCCUAAAAAGCAUUUCAUAGCAAGGGCCGGGCAAGACCGGUGCCAGCCGCCGCGGUAACACCGGCGGCUCGAGUGGUAACCGUUAUUAUUGGGUCUAAAGGGUCUGUAGCCGGCCGGAUAAGUCUCUUGGGAAAUCCAGCAGCUUAACUGUUGGGCUUUCAGGAGAUACUGUCUGGCUCGAGGCCGGGAGAGGUGAGAGGUACUUCAGGGGUAGGGGUGAAAUCUUGUAAUCCUUGAAGGACCACCAGUGGCGAAGGCGUCUCACCAGAACGGACCUGACGGCAAGGGACGAAAGCUAGGGGCACGAACA
RNAcentral lists this ribosomal RNA (384 nucleotides) under uncultured prokaryote. RNAcentral's name for it is "bacterial SSU rRNA". It matches the Rfam family "Archaeal small subunit ribosomal RNA", at positions 341 to 725 of the family's 1478-position model. The record is from RNAcentral.